GGUAAGGCCCUUCGGGGUACACGAGCGGCGAACGGGUGAGUAACACGUGAGCAACCUGCCCCUGACUCCGGGAUAAGCGGUGGAAACGCCGUCUAAUACCGGAUAUGACACACCAUCUCCUGGUGGUGUGUGGAAAGUUUUGUCGGUCAGGGAUGGGCUCGCGGCCUAUCAGCUAGUUGGUGGGGUAAAGGCCUACCAAGGCGAUUACGGGUAGCCGGCCUGAGAGGGCGACCGGCCACACUGGGACUGAGACACGGCCCAGACUCCUGCGGGAGGCAGCAGUGGGGAAUAUUGCACAAUGGGCGAAAGCCUGAUGCAGCGACGCCGCGUGGGGGAUGACGGCCUUCGGGUUGUAAACCUCUUUUACCACCAACGCAGGCCCCGGGUUCUCUCGGGGUUGACGGUAGGUGGGGAAUAAGGACCGGCUAACUACGUGCCAGCAGCCGCGGUAAUACGUAGGGUCCGAGCGUUGUCCGGAAUUAUUGGGCGUAAAGAGCUCGUAGGCGGCGUGUCGCGUCUGCUGUGAAAGACCGGGGCUUAACCCCGGUUCUGCAGUGGAUACGGGCAUGCUAGAGGUAGGUAGGGGAGACUGGAAUUCCUGGUGUAGCGGUGAAAUGCGCAGAUAUCAGGAGGAACACCGGUGGCGAAGGCGGGUCUCUGGGCCUUACCUGACGCUGAGGAGCGAAAGCAUGGGGAGCGAACAGGAUUAGAUACCCUGGU
RNAcentral lists this ribosomal RNA (720 nucleotides) under Nocardiopsis sp. 7-47. RNAcentral describes it as "bacterial SSU rRNA". It matches the Rfam family "Bacterial small subunit ribosomal RNA", at positions 68 to 791 of the family's 1533-position model. Lineage: Bacteria; Bacillati; Actinomycetota; Actinomycetes; Streptosporangiales; Nocardiopsidaceae. The record is from RNAcentral.